CUCUUAAAAUUGAUGUGUUAAAAUUUUACACAAAAUAUGUGUAAAAGGAUUCCAACACAUUUUUGUGUUAGAACUGACACAUAAUGUGUAAAUAUUAUGCUUAACUGCUUACACAAUGAAUGUGUAAAACACGUUUACCAGUAAACCAUAAAAUAAAAUGCAUAAUUAUUGUAAUUUAAUGAUGAUUUAUAUUUAAACGAAGUAACAAAAUAAAAUAUAUCUACUGUUAACCAAAAUAUAUCUACUGUUAACCACUACUACCACAUAACAGCCAGCGGGGAUUUUGAUAAGGACUUGCCGAGAUCAAGCUGCGUUGGGCGGGGUACAUUAGCGCUGAGUAUCCGGUGGUUGUAUGGAUCAGAACUCCGAAAGAGUCGGAGCAGAUUUUUUAAUAAACGCUAUCUUUAUUAACCGACCGCACAUUUGAUCUUUUUAUACAUACAUUCUCGCCUAAAUAGCUUUUGAAUAUACAUUUUGUGACACAAUAAGAGUAAUAUUUCAAACAUUAUGCAGGCGUUCUCUUCCAUUGGUGGCUGUUGUAAGUUCACACGAGUCAGCUGAUGACGUUUCACUUGGACAGACAACCACGCAUUGUUGUAUAUUUUUUUGCGUGUGUUAUUAUUAUUUUAUUAUUAUGAAAUUCGUGAACAUUAUUAUUGAGCCUUGGCAGUCUAUUUUGUAUUUGUUUUAUUGAGGAGAAAAAAACAGACAAGAACGCAUAUUGUGUUGCGCCUGCGCUGUGACGUUCUUUUUUCAACCGCAUUUCCAGUCAAGAGGUCAAGAAUGUUCCUGUCUGCAUCAGGUAAGAAAUUAAAUAAAAAAUUACCGUUAUAAUAUGAUAUCUAUUUUUCAUAUAGUGUAAGAAACUUUAGCAUUAAUUGUGCAGGAGACUGUUCAUUUAAACUUUAUUGUGGUAACGUUAAAUGCUCGCUCGUUUUGCAAAGUUACGUUUGGAGAUUCAUGAUAGCAGUCAUUGUUUAAUGAAAGGCACAUUGGACUACGGGUUAGUAAGUAUGUGUGACACUUACAGCACUUUAACGUAAAUCUUUAACACAGUGUCCUAAAUAGAUGUGACACGCGGUAACGGGUUUCUUUUCAGUUUAUGUCCUGACGUUAAUAGGACGGGAUAUUAUAAAUUAUGCCUUUCUAUUAUCGCGACGCCUCGUCGCGUUUGGUUAAGCACAUGGUGGAACAGUAUGCACGUCACUGUACCUAACGUACUGUACACCUGUGAGCGGCAUGACGAGACAAAAGACGGUAAAACUCAUUAUUAUUCGGUGAUGCUGUAACAUACUGGAUGCACCACCACAUUUUAUAAUAAUGUUUUUUAUUUUCGUGUCGCGCCCUCGCGUUCAACAUAACGUAGUGGUCUAAAUGUAAGGAGUCAAACUUUACGAACCUUUCACUGCUUGCAGUAAGGCUGAAGUGCUAGGUAGUGAAUAAAAUGGGUGUAGUCUUGUGCUACUAAAUGUAAAUCACAAUUCUUGUGUCAAUGUUUGUUUGUAAUCUUUUUCAGCUAGCUAUCCAUCUGAAAAAGAAAAGCUGGAACUCGCAAAGGAGAUUGUGUUGUUGGAUUAUGGUCUCAUUUGGUCAAAAUGAGGGACAUGUACUGAGCAUUUUUCUUUUUUCUUUUUUUUGAUGGGCCAUCACACAGUGGAUUUAUAAAAAUGAGACUACAGAACAUCAGACGGAAGCUUCAACACGUGAGAGGACAUCAUCAAUAAAGAAUGCCAUUGACCAAACCUUCAGUCAUCAAAGGAGAUGGAUACAGGUGGACAUCGAGUUUUCCAGACUUACCGAUAGGAAAGAAGACAUGUUUAUCAGGAAAUUGGAGGUGACAAUUAUUGAGAAACUCAGGGAAAUAGCAUCUUUAGAGAAGAAAUGUAAUGUAAGAUAUUUAAUGUAAGAUAUAAAAGUAAUCCUUUUUAAAUAAUUUUUUCUCAUAAUUUAUAUUUUGCAUGUGACCUGCAUGUUUACCACACCCAGAUCUAUUGCUGUGUGAAUUCUGCUGUCUCAGACUGGGACUUGGUGGCGGCUGGUACCAGCAUGACCUCUUUGCUUACUAAAUGAUGAAAAGGUGUCUAAAAUCAGCUCAGCCACAGUUGGUUUCCAGCGGUUCUUCAGGACAUAGAGGCCAUGUAAUUGUCGCAAUGAAUGAUUCUCUUGCCUUUCUACUUGAUGUUUACAAUCUGACCUGUGCGGUAGACAGACUUUUCAAAUUUACUAGCUAAGUAACCUUAAGUAUCCCUGCCAACUGUCUUCAGUUUUUUUUUUGGUAUGAAUAUGAUCUACCCUUGUCCCAGUCCUCUUGCAAACAAUCCAAGGCAAUGGAGUUUCAAAAUGGACCGCAAAAUUGCAGUCUGUUUUAACCAAUGCAUGCACUGUGUGGCGGUUUCCCGGACAGGGAUUAGACUAGUCCUAGACUAAAACAUUUUUAAGAGCUGUCCAAACUGAAAACAACUUGCACUGACAUAUCUUAAAAUACACCAGUGCCCUUUGUUUUGCCUCAAAAUGCACACAGGUAAUGUUUUUAGUAAGGCAUGUUUGUUAAAACCAGAUAUAUUUCCUAAUUAAUCUAAGGCCUAGUCCUGGAUUAAGAUUAUCCCUGUCCGGGAAACCACCCCUAAAUAUUUUGUGAUGGAAAUUUCUUUGAAUACACUUGUCAAGUUCAUUUGAAGUAUUUUUCUUAAUGUAAAAUAACGUGUUAAUGUUUCAGGACAAGGUAAGAAUUUUUGAUAACUUGCAUGUUGAAAACGAUUUCAGACAUUGUUUUAACAUGGUUAACACAUGUGCUUUUAAAUUCAAUGAAUUAUUUUAUAAAUGGUGUUUUUUAUGUAUAAAUGUAAUGUAUGUUUGAAGUGAUUAUACUUGCACUUAAAUUUAUUUAAAUUAGCAUACAUCUUGCAACAUACAGUACUAGCAUAUUUUCAUGCUAGCAUUAAUUGUCAAAUAUUUAUUAUUUUACAAAUAAAUCGUUUGUGAACAAUAUUUAAUAGUUGUCUGCUUGAUUUCAUUAUUUAAAGUUUACAAAUCGUAUGUUUUUUUUCUCUUUUAUAUUAAAACUAAACAAUUACUGGGUAACACACAGUUGUGUUAAAUUAAUAGAAAGUUACACAUUAAUGUGUUUACUGAAGCAACACAUUUUUUGUGUUGCAUUUUAUAACACAUAUUCUGUGUUAAAUUUAACUCAACAUGUGUUGUCCCUGCGCACACUCAGAACAUGUGUAAAAAAUAACACAUGUUGUGUUGUUUUUAACACAUUUGUUUUAAG
Misgurnus anguillicaudatus (oriental weatherfish) is the source of this 3271-nucleotide non-coding RNA. The record is from RefSeq and is a predicted model, not a curated record. NCBI's taxonomy places the organism in Eukaryota, Metazoa, Chordata, Actinopteri, Cypriniformes, Cobitidae.